RNAcentral lists this unclassified non-coding RNA (215 nucleotides) under Hevea brasiliensis (rubber tree). The record is from RNAcentral. Lineage: Eukaryota; Viridiplantae; Streptophyta; Magnoliopsida; Malpighiales; Euphorbiaceae.
AAUGUUGACUUUUAAAUACAUAAUAGGUUUGUUAUUUCUAAUUUCACCUAGAUACCAUAUUUUAAACUUUAUACUUGUUAGCACUAGUUGCCAAACUCAAUUCAUAACCCAUUGGUUAUUAUUUCAAAUUUCCAGAUUUCAUAGUCCAUGUUCGCUGCUCUAUUAGACCAAGCUACAGUAGGAAUUUGACUAAACUUUAUUCAUAAAAGUUUUUC